UACGUAGGGGGCAAGCGUUGUCCGGAAUCACUGGGCGUAAAGCGCGCGCAGGCGGCGAUCUACGUCCGGGGUGAAAGCCCAGAGCUCAACUCUGGGACUGCCUUGGAUACGGGAUCGCUUGAGGAUCGGAGAGGCAAGGGGAAUUCCACGUGUAGCGGUGAAAUGCGUAGAGAUGUGGAGGAACACCUGUGGCGAAGGCGCCUUGCUGGCCGAUUUCUGACGCUGAGGCGCGAAAGGCGUGGGGAGCAAACAGG
Molecule: ribosomal RNA, 254 nt
Filed under: uncultured bacterium
Lineage: Bacteria
Description: partial 16S ribosomal RNA
Rfam family: Bacterial small subunit ribosomal RNA
Source: RNAcentral